Molecule: ribosomal RNA, 460 nt
Filed under: uncultured bacterium
Lineage: Bacteria
Description: partial 16S ribosomal RNA
Rfam family: Bacterial small subunit ribosomal RNA
Source: RNAcentral
CCUACGGGAGGCAGCAGUGAGGAAUAUUGGUCAAUGGGCGCGAGCCUGAACCAGCCAAGUAGCGUGAAGGAUGACUGCCCUACGGGUUGUAAACUUCUUUUAUAAAGGAAUAAAGUGAGGCACGUGUGCCUUUUUGUAUGUACUUUAUGAAUAAGGAUCGGCUAACUCCGUGCCAGCAGCCGCGGUAAUACGGAGGAUCCGAGCGUUAUCCGGAUUUAUUGGGUUUAAAGGGAGCGGAGAUGGGGUGUUAAGUCAGUUGUGAAAGUUUGGGGCUCAACCGUAAAAUGGCAAUUGAUACUGGCAGCCUUGAGUACAGUGGAGGUAGGCGGAAUUCGUGGUGUAGCGGUGAAAUGCUUAGAUAUCACGAAGAACCCCGAUUGCGAAGGCAGCUUACUAAACUGCCACUGACAUUGAUGCUCGAAAGUGUGGGGAUCAAACAGGAUUAGAUACCCGAGUAGUC